GAGUGUUCUUUUCAUUCAUUACAGGUUCAACAUCAACAAAGCAUCGCUCUUUCACUCCAGUUAGCAAGAGGUAAAUACACUUUUCCUUUAAUGCUUUGUUAGAUAUAGAUUAGGUUGGGAGUUUAAUGGUUUUUGUUAGUUGUGUUGAUGUUAUUUACAUUUAGUUUUGCGUGGUUCUGAUAUAUAUUUAGGUGAAAACAUUCAUUGUCAUUAAGACUUAAAUUAAGUGACUGCAACUACUAAAAACAACAAUUGCCUUUAAAAUCCAAACAAUAGGCUUAAACAACAACACGUUUAAACAACUGAAGCUCUUCUCCUUUUCUUUUUCCUGCGAAUUCAUAAACAAUUUUAUGGAUUCAUUUUCUCAAUCUUAUAGCUUUAUAGAUCUCUUAAACACUCAAAACCAAAACACUCAACCUAGUUUUGAACCCUCUGCCUCGAAUGUCUCUUUCUUUGGUACAUAAUGGGCUGAUGAUGCAAACUUGGAAGCUCACACUGUGGAAGACCGCAAAGAGAGACGGAAGUGGACACCAACAGAGGACGUGGUGCUCAUCAGCGCUUGGCUGAACACUUCAAAGGACCCGGUUGUUGGUAAUGAACAAAAAGCAAUUGCUUUUUGGAUCUUGUGUCUUCUCUCGCUUGGUUUAUGGUUUUAUGGUUAAAUAAAAAAUAAGCUUGUCUUAUGGUUUAUGGUUAAAUAAGCUUGUCUUAUGGUCUUGCUCUAUUUGGAUCUUGUGUCGCUUAUGGUAUCUUCUUUCUUCUGCAGGUCGAGCCAAGGUGACAUAAGAAGACAGCAGAGAUGACUUGUGAUAUAAGAUGACAACAGCGUGUUGGUCUCGUGACACAAGAAGACACAAGAAGACAUGUUCUGUUGGUGGUCUCGUGACACAAGAAGACAUGUUACGUUGGUGGUCUCGUGACACAAGAAGACUAUCAUGUUGUUGUCUUGUUAGCUUUGUGAGUUGUGAGAUUGCUUGUGACACAAAAAGACAAUAUCUUCUUCAUGUGUUGAUUAAUAAUUAUGUA
Molecule: long non-coding RNA, 1026 nt
Filed under: Brassica rapa (field mustard)
Lineage: Eukaryota; Viridiplantae; Streptophyta; Magnoliopsida; Brassicales; Brassicaceae
Description: long non-coding RNA (BRAP_LNC002311)
Source: RNAcentral